AGCGAACGCUGGCGGCAUGCUUAACACAUGCAAGUCUCACGGGCAGCAAUGUCAGUGGCGGACGGGUGAGUAACGCGUAGGUAUCUAUCCUUGGGUGGGGGACAACCGUGGGAAACUACGGCUAAUACCGCAUGAAACCUGAGGGUCAAAGGCGCAAGUCGCCUGGGGAGGAGCCUGCGUACGAUUAGCUUGUUGGUGGGGUAAAGGCCUACCAAGGCGACGAUCGUUAGCUGGUCUGAGAGGAUGAUCAGCCACACUGGGACUGAGACACGGCCCAGACUCCUACGGGAGGCAGCAGUGGGGAAUAUUGGACAAUGGGCGAAAGCCUGAUCCAGCAAUGCCGCGUGGAUGAAGAAGGUUUUCGGAUUGUAAAGUCCUUUCGGCGGGGACGAUGAUGACGGUACCCGCAGAAGAAGCCCCGGCUAACUUCGUGCCAGCAGCCGCCGUAACAC
This 452-nucleotide ribosomal RNA is filed under the name uncultured bacterium. Its description in RNAcentral is "bacterial SSU rRNA". It matches the Rfam family "Bacterial small subunit ribosomal RNA", at positions 29 to 526 of the family's 1533-position model. The record is from RNAcentral.